GCCUGGGUAGCUCAGUUGGUAGAGCAUUUCCCUGAAGAGGAAGGGGUCGCCAGUUCGAUCCUGGCCCCAGGCA
RNAcentral lists this transfer RNA (73 nucleotides) under Candidatus Adlerbacteria bacterium RIFOXYB1_FULL_48_10. RNAcentral's name for it is "tRNA-Phe". It matches the Rfam family "tRNA". Rfam says of the family: Transfer RNA (tRNA) molecules are approximately 80 nucleotides in length. Lineage: Bacteria; Candidatus Adleribacteriota. The record is from RNAcentral. RNAcentral also lists the same sequence under 3 other names.